RNAcentral lists this ribosomal RNA (270 nucleotides) under unidentified marine bacterioplankton. RNAcentral's name for it is "partial 16S ribosomal RNA". It matches the Rfam family "Bacterial small subunit ribosomal RNA", at positions 72 to 339 of the family's 1533-position model. The record is from RNAcentral.
UCUUGUAGCAAUACAAGUGAAGACCUAGUGGCGAACGGGUGAGGAACACGUGAGAAAUUUGCCCCGAACUUUGGGAUAACAGUUGGAAACGACUGCUAAUACCGAAUGCCGUUAUGAAGUGGCAUCACUAUGUAACGAAAGAAUUUCGGUUCGGGAGAAUCUCGCGGCCUAUCAGCUUGUUGGUGAGGUAACGGCUCACCAAGGCUAUGACGGGUAGCUGGUCUGAGAGGAUGAUCAGCCACACUGGGACUGAGACACGGCCCAGACUCC